Molecule: non-coding RNA, 1163 nt
Filed under: Ophiocordyceps sinensis CO18
Lineage: Eukaryota; Fungi; Ascomycota; Sordariomycetes; Hypocreales; Ophiocordycipitaceae
Description: Bacterial small subunit ribosomal RNA
Rfam family: Bacterial small subunit ribosomal RNA
Source: Rfam by way of RNAcentral
AUAUCCUUCGUUAAGGUAUCGGACGAGUAGGCUACGAGACUUAGGUUAAAAGGGUACCUAGACGGUUAAUAUAGCUUAUAUAAUGUUAGUACUUAACUAGAGUUUUAUAUAAGAGGGGAGUUCUUAAGGAGGAGAGAUAAAAUUCUUUAAUACUAAAGGGACUUAGUAAAGGCGAAGGCACCCCUUUAGGUAAAAACUAACGUUAAGGGACGAAGGCAUAGAGAACAAAUAGGAUUAGAUACCUAAGUAGUCUUUGCAGUAAAUCAUAAAUGCUAUAUAUUAGAUAAAGAAUUUAAUAACUUAGUUCGUUAGUAAAUAAUUAAUAUUAAAUCUUAUUUAGUCUAUAAAUGAAAGUAUAAGCAUUCUACCUAAAGGGUAAUAUAGCAACGCAGGAACUAAGAUUACUAGACCGUUUCUAACAAUAGUAGUGCAGUAUAUUAUUAAAUUCGAUAAUAUAGGAAAAUUCUUACUUCAAUUUGUAUAAUAAUAUUAUAGGAGUUACACGGCUGUUUUUAGUUAAUGUUGUAAAACUAUGGUUUCUAUGUAAUUAACGAAAUUCUAGGCUGUUUUUUUAGAUGCGCUAGUCCCUCCGGGACUAGCAAGCCCUUUUUUAACUUAUUUUAGUUAUAAAGCGUAUAAAAGCGCUCUUAGAAUAAAAAAAGAGCUUGCGCCUUAAAAACGAUUUUUAGGGCUCGCUACUACGAUAAGGCAUUAGAUCCUAGAUAUUUAGAUAGAAAAAGAGUAUAAAGACAAGUCAUUAUAGCUUUUAUAUUAUAGGCUAUAAACGUGCUAUAUCUUUAUAGAUAAAGAGAUGCAAAAAUGUAAAUUUAAGCUAAUCUUAAAAAAUAGGAUAAAGAUUUUAAGGAUUAUAGUCUAAAAUUCGACUAUAUAAAAAAGUAAUUACUAGUAAUCGUAAAUUACUAUAUUACGGUGAAUUACUCUCGGAUUAGUACUAACCACUCGUGAUAUACUAAAAAGAGCUUAAGCAAUAAGUUUGCCUUCUAAGUAAUUAGUAAAAGAAACAUAUAGGUUUUAUAUAGAUAUAUUAUCUAUAAAUAGCACUAAAGCUGUCUAUUAUUAGGAAUCUUUGUAUACGCGGUUCUAAUUAGUAUUAAGUCGAAAUACGGUUUAUAUAGUAGAAGUUGCACGGGAUUAAUUAAUAU